Molecule: long non-coding RNA, 694 nt
Organism: Pan paniscus (pygmy chimpanzee)
Lineage: Eukaryota; Metazoa; Chordata; Mammalia; Primates; Hominidae
Source: Ensembl
GGCUCUUCUAAAUGUCCCCUAUUUCAAUGCAUCUCAGCACUGUUCAAGAGCUCAAAUAUGAUGCCACUGGUGUGCAAUACACAAAAAAAGUUUCUGCUCACUCUUCCCAUCACCCCAGCAUGAGCUGCUGACUAGGGCAUCUCACCCCCAGACGUCGACACAAAGCUGAUGUUCAUAGAGAUCAGUGGCUUGUCAUUUCUUUCAGUAAGAAGUUAAGAACCAGUGCUAGAAAGGUGAAGCUCAGGGGGCUGAAGACCAAGGCAAGGCCUUGGAGGUGAAAACAAAUUGAAGAAGAAAGAAACGCUCCCAUGUCCUGCUUAAUGGCCACAGAUAAUUUUAAGCUUGAGCAAAGAACCAAGCCUCCCAACACAAUGGAAAGAAAGGAGGCACCGUGUGAAGGGAAGAUGGCAUACGUGGCACAGACCUCCACCUCUGCUCACCACCACAGAAGGCCACUCCUGCAUGGGCAGCAACAACAGCACUCAGCUGAUUGGACCAAAAGAAAUGCUACGUGCGUUAGUUCAGGCUUGUCAAGAAGUAAAUGCCAAGAUGGAAUUAGAUGUGCAAGAAAUUUCUUGGAGAAGAGAGCAGGAAAGACAAGGAGAGCUUUCGGAUUGCAAUACAAGUCUAACACCAGUAGAAGGAGAGAAGAAAGGAAGGAAGAUGGGGUAAGAAGAAUCUCAGACUAUACUAA